This 1406-nucleotide ribosomal RNA is filed under the name Streptococcus sp. 2010_Ileo_MS_XIIIb. RNAcentral's name for it is "bacterial SSU rRNA". It matches the Rfam family "Bacterial small subunit ribosomal RNA". Lineage: Bacteria; Bacillati; Bacillota; Bacilli; Lactobacillales; Streptococcaceae. The record is from RNAcentral.
UAGACGCUGAAGAGAGGAGCUUGCUCUUCUUGGAUGAGUUGCGAACGGGUGAGUAACGCGUAGGUAACCUGCCUUGUAGCGGGGGAUAACUAUUGGAAACGAUAGCUAAUACCGCAUAACAAUGGAUGACACAUGUCAUUUAUUUGAAAGGGGCAAUUGCUCCACUACAAGAUGGACCUGCGUUGUAUUAGCUAGUAGGUGAGGUAACGGCUCACCUAGGCGACGAUACAUAGCCGACCUGAGAGGGUGAUCGGCCACACUGGGACUGAGACACGGCCCAGACUCCUACGGGAGGCAGCAGUAGGGAAUCUUCGGCAAUGGGGGCAACCCUGACCGAGCAACGCCGCGUGAGUGAAGAAGGUUUUCGGAUCGUAAAGCUCUGUUGUAAGUCAAGAACGAGUGUGAGAGUGGAAAGUUCACACUGUGACGGUAGCUUACCAGAAAGGGACGGCUAACUACGUGCCAGCAGCCGCGGUAAUACGUAGGUCCCGAGCGUUGUCCGGAUUUAUUGGGCGUAAAGCGAGCGCAGGCGGUUUGAUAAGUCUGAAGUUAAAGGCUGUGGCUCAACCAUAGUUCGCUUUGGAAACUGUCAAACUUGAGUGCAGAAGGGGAGAGUGGAAUUCCAUGUGUAGCGGUGAAAUGCGUAGAUAUAUGGAGGAACACCGGUGGCGAAAGCGGCUCUCUGGUCUGUAACUGACGCUGAGGCUCGAAAGCGUGGGGAGCGAACAGGAUUAGAUACCCUGGUAGUCCACGCCGUAAACGAUGAGUGCUAGGUGUUGGAUCCUUUCCGGGAUUCAGUGCCGCAGCUAACGCAUUAAGCACUCCGCCUGGGGAGUACGACCGCAAGGUUGAAACUCAAAGGAAUUGACGGGGGCCCGCACAAGCGGUGGAGCAUGUGGUUUAAUUCGAAGCAACGCGAAGAACCUUACCAGGUCUUGACAUCCCGAUGCUAUUUCUAGAGAUAGAAAGUUACUUCGGUACAUCGGUGACAGGUGGUGCAUGGUUGUCGUCAGCUCGUGUCGUGAGAUGUUGGGUUAAGUCCCGCAACGAGCGCAACCCCUAUUGUUAGUUGCCAUCAUUCAGUUGGGCACUCUAGCGAGACUGCCGGUAAUAAACCGGAGGAAGGUGGGGAUGACGUCAAAUCAUCAUGCCCCUUAUGACCUGGGCUACACACGUGCUACAAUGGUUGGUACAACGAGUUGCGAGUCGGUGACGGCAAGCUAAUCUCUUAAAGCCAAUCUCAGUUCGGAUUGUAGGCUGCAACUCGCCUACAUGAAGUCGGAAUCGCUAGUAAUCGCGGAUCAGCACGCCGCGGUGAAUACGUUCCCGGGCCUUGUACACACCGCCCGUCACACCACGAGAGUUUGUAACACCCGAAGUCGGUGAGGUAACCUUUNNAGCCAGCC